AACGCACAUUGCGCCCCUUGGUAUUCCGAGGGGCAUGCCUGUUCGAGCGUCAUUAAAACAACUCAAGCUUGGCUUGGUCUUGGGGUCCGCGGUCUCGCGGCCCUUAAAAUCAGUGGCGGUGCCGUCUGGCUCUAAGCGUAGUAAUGCUCUCGCUAUAGGGUCUUGCGGUGGCUGCCAGAACCCCCACUUCUCAGUUUGACCUCGGAUCAGGUAGGGAUACCCGCUGAACUUAA
Molecule: unclassified non-coding RNA, 233 nt
Filed under: uncultured fungus
Lineage: Eukaryota; Fungi
Description: sequence contains ITS2
Rfam family: 5.8S ribosomal RNA (bases 1-52)
Source: RNAcentral